RNAcentral lists this ribosomal RNA (381 nucleotides) under uncultured eukaryote. RNAcentral's name for it is "partial 18S ribosomal RNA". It matches the Rfam family "Eukaryotic small subunit ribosomal RNA", at positions 593 to 975 of the family's 1831-position model. The record is from RNAcentral.
AAUAGCGUAUAUUAAAGUUGUUGCAGUUAAAAAGCUCGUAGUUGGAUUUCUGGUGGGAGCGAUCGGUCUGGCGCUUAGCGCGAGUACUUGCAUCGUCUCCGGCCAUCCUUGGGGAGAGUCUGUCUGGCAUUAGGUUGUCGGGCAGAGGAUCCUCAUCGUUUACUGUGAAAAAAUUAGAGUGUUCAAAGCAGGCUUAUGCCGUUGAAUAUAUUAGCAUGGAAUAAUAAGAUAGGACUUUGGUACUAUUUUGUUGGUUUGCGCACCAAAGUAAUGAUUAAUAGGGACAGUUGGGGGUAUUCGUAUUCCGUUGUCAGAGGUGAAAUUCUUGGAUUUACGGAAGACGAACUACUGCGAAAGCGUUUACCAAGGAUGUUUUCAUUA